This 497-nucleotide ribosomal RNA is filed under the name uncultured bacterium. RNAcentral describes it as "partial 16S ribosomal RNA". It matches the Rfam family "Bacterial small subunit ribosomal RNA", at positions 28 to 507 of the family's 1533-position model. The record is from RNAcentral.
GAUGAACGCUGGCGGCGUGCCUAAUACAUGCAAGUCGAGCGAACAGACGAGGAGCUUGCUCCUCGGACGUUAGCGGCGGACGGGUGAGUAACACGUGGAUAACCUACCUAUAAGACUGGGAUAACUUCGGGAAACCGGAGCUAAUACCGGAUAAUAUAUUGAACCGCAUGGUUCAAUAGUGAAAGACGGUUUUGCUGUCACUUAUAGAUGGAUCCGCGCCGCAUUAGCUAGUUGGUAAGGUAACGGCUUACCAAGGCAACGAUGCGUAGCCGACCUGAGAGGGUGAUAGGCCACACUGGAACUGAGACACGGUCAAGACUCCUACGGGAGGCAGCAGUAGGGAAUCUUCCGCAAUGGGCGAAAGCCUGACGGAGCAACGCCGCGUGAGUGAUGAAGGUCUUCCGAUCGUAAAAAUCUGUUAUUAGGGAAGAACAAAUGUGUAAGUAACUAUGCACGUCUUGACGGUACCUAAUCAGAAAGCCACGGCUAACUACGUG